RNAcentral lists this ribosomal RNA (253 nucleotides) under uncultured bacterium. Its description in RNAcentral is "partial 16S ribosomal RNA". It matches the Rfam family "Bacterial small subunit ribosomal RNA", at positions 524 to 776 of the family's 1533-position model. The record is from RNAcentral.
UACGGGGGGUCCAAGCGUUGUUCGGAAUCACUGGGCGUAAAGCGCACGUAGGUGGCUUUUCAAGUCUGUUGUGAAAGCCCAGGGCCUAACCCUGGAAGUGCAGCAGAUACUGUUAAGCUUGAGUAUGGGAGAGGAUAGUGGAAUUCCUGGUGUAGUGGUGAAAUACGUAGAUAUCAGGAGGAACACCGGUGGCGAAGGCGGCUAUCUGGCCCAAUACUGACGCUGAGGUGCGAAAGCGUGGGGAUCAAACAGG